Orcinus orca (killer whale) is the source of this 3346-nucleotide long non-coding RNA. RefSeq lists it as uncharacterized. The record is from RefSeq and is a predicted model, not a curated record. The transcript has 4 exons. NCBI's taxonomy places the organism in Eukaryota, Metazoa, Chordata, Mammalia, Artiodactyla, Delphinidae.
CCCAUAACAACCCAGUGGAGUAGGCGCUAUUAUCGUCCCCAUUUUCUAGAUGAAGAAAUGGAGGCACAGAGAGAACUUUCCCAAGGUUGCACAAGUAAUAAAUGAUGGAACAAGGAUUUUGACCCAGCUCCAGAGGCCACACUUGUAUCCACCCUGCUAACCCAGCUCAAGUCAAAGUGCCUCAUUCUGAUUCUAACAGAAGGAGGCUGAGAGGCACUCACUCCUUUGGGACCAGGUUACAGCUACAAAAUAAACACAGAUAAGUAUUUCUUUGUCUCACUUCCCUCAUCUGGAAAAUAAGGGUAAUGAUUAUUUCUACCCCAGAGGGGUGUGACAAGGAUAAAACAUGGAGACACAGUUAGAAAAGUGCCUGGCACUCAGCAUAGACUGGAGAGCUUUGAAUGGACAUUCAGUAUCAACAUUUUAAAAGUCAGGAUGGGCAAGUACCGCCCUCAGGCUGCCAGUUUACUCUCUCUGAUAUAACAAGCCUCUGCCGUGUGCCAGUGCCUGAUUAGUAUUUUAUUUUGUUAUUUAUUUAUUUAUUUUGCGGUACGUGGGCCUCUCAUUGCUGUGGCCUCUCCCGUUGCGGGGCACAGGCUCUGGAUGUGCAGGCUCAGUGGCCAUGGCUCACGGGCCCAGCCUCUCCUCGGCAUGUGGGAUCUUCCCAGACCGGGGCACGAACCCGCGUCCCCUGCAUCGGCAGGCGGACUCUCAACCACUGCGCCACCAGGGAAGCCCCUGAUUAGUAUUUUAGAUGCAUUUUCCAAUGUAACCUCCCAGGGCCCUUGGAGCUGGAUCAUUUUGUGCUCAUUUUACCACGUUCACCAUGGCCCUGCCCAGCCAGUGCAGGGCCAGGGGCCACACCCAGACACUCUGACUUGAAAACCCAGGGUCUCUCCCCUUCUCUACCCUGCUCGUUGACAGCUGAAUGAAUUAACCUUCUUGGUGGCGUUAAUUAACAUCAUCCAGCUGUCCAGAGGUGGAUGUGAAUCAAAACAGUGAUGUUCUUUUGUUGGUUUGAAUCAACAAAUCAGUGACUUACUUUUCAAGGCUGAUUUCUAAUUCAGAUGAGUAAAGUCAAAGCAUAUGCCCUAUGGAUAUAUGACUCUGAUUUGCCGGGCAGCAUAGCAUAUAGCUAAUGUAUCUAAACCUUUGUCGUUAUUUAAAUCUAGGUUUUCAAAGAGGGCCAAAGGCACAGCCCCUUUACAUUCUAUUUAAAACUGAAAAAUGAGUUCAUUCAUUAAAACAGAUAUCUUUUGGUCAUCUACUGAUGAUUAAGAGAAAUCUGUGCACUCAGGGAGUAGACAGAUGAGUUUUAUGGAAAAUGAGCUGGGAGAAUGGAGAACUAAGUGCAGUCAGCUCUGAGGCAGGUGAGACUAACCCUGCCUGCAGGAGGGACAAGCUGAGGACAGCCUCAUAAUCCAGAAGAAUAGGAUGGACAGUGGCGGGGGAGGGGAAGGCAGAGGGAAAGUCACGUGCACUGACCCAUGGGAGCCAGAGGGACGUCUAAGGCUGCGGCACUGGGUGUUCUGUGGAGUCUGUGGAGAUGAGUGUGGAAUGUUAAGGGGACAAUCUGACCCACAGGGACACCAGCAGGGAUUAUGGUCUCUGGAACCUCUACCAUCAUAUCCAUCAGUACUAAGUGGUAGAAUCAGCCUACCUGAAAACCUGUUUCUUGUUCUUCAUAAUCUCCAUUUGGAUUCCCACCCUGGAAUUUGUUGAGGCUAAACAUGGCAGAGAAUCUCAAGGAGACAUCAAACUAACAGAUCACUUCAGUUACGUUGACUUGCCUCCAGAUUCACCUCUUCUGCCACCCUUAGGCGCUGUCUUCUCAGCGCUCCCGGGGGUCUGCCCGGGGAUCCCUGCUCCAUUCUGAAGCAUGACCGGGAUGCGGAGGCUACAAACACGCCAGAGAUGACAUAGCAACAGUUUUGUGGAGGAGAAUAUCAAGUAGGCGUUUUGAUGAUGCUGAUAAUGAAGCUGGUUGCAGAAAAUGGGAGCUGCAUCAGACAAUACCGAAUAAAUUAUUUUGUGCUGUCUCCUCUUAAUGCCUGGGUUAAAGCAACCCAAGCCAACUGCAGUUCCGCAACACCGUGUGAGCGCUCCAGUGAGGCAGAACCCUGCACCAUCAGCGAUCCAUCACCUGUUUGAACCUGAAUAGCACCAGGAACGAGCUAGUAGCUACAGAAUAAGUAGCUACAGAACAAGUAGUGAACAAGAUAAAUACAGUUCCUGCCCUCAAGGAGAUCAUGGCAUCCUCCCCUCUCUACCUGUUGGAACCCCGUUUACUUUAAGGUAAAGUCCAAAUAUCACCUCCACUGUGAAGACUGCCCUGAUCUCUUCAGGCAGAAGUAUUCUUUCGCUUCUCUAAAACUCCUGCUUUGCUCAUUUGUUCUGCUUCUAGCCUACGUGCCACAUAAGGACUUUGAACAUAAGACAUGUAGACAUAGUUACUUCGUCUUUGUAAUACUUUCACCAUCUAGUGGGAACACAGUGAAUGACUGAAUGAAUAUGUUAAGACUAGUUAUUUAAAAAACUGCCCAUGGACUGCUACACCUGAAACAACUGUUUAAGGAAACAUAUCUGACACGGUUUCAACUCGGCAUAGGUGACUGCAGUGCCUUGAGGACACUUGGGGAGAAAGUUCAUCUAUAAAGCAACUGGCAGUUGGCCUGGAGAUUAAGAGGAUGUACCCUGAAGUCUUGUCAUCUUUUAGUUAUUUUGUCCCAUUAUAGUAUGUUUCUGAACUUGGCACAGGGAAUUAAAAAGCUGAUUUUCUAUGGUCGGAAAUUCUUAAAAAUACUUCUCUGUCAUUAUAAAACUUUGAAAACAUGUAAAAGCAUGAAGAAAGAAAUUAGAGUCACCCAUAAUCCACCAUUCAGACAAAAAUCACGGUUAACGUUUUGGUGUAUUUCCUUCCAGUCUUUUUCGUCUGCAGUUUGAAGAGAGUCUGCUCUGGAGUGCUGGAUCUCACUCUGGUGCUCAGGAUGGGCGGACUUACGGAGGAGAACAUUCUGCUUAUCGUAUUAAAGCAGCGCCGUCUCUGUCGCCUCCACGUUCUGCCUUUCCUCGCUGAUGACUCUCUGUUUCUUUUUCCCUACAUUGUGUUCUACGUCUUCCCCCACUGAAUGCAGAGUUAUGGUUUUGCGACCCUACUUUGGGUCUUCACUCAAUCUCUGGUCCCCACAUCAUGUCCCUGAUCAGCAUCUCAGAGCCCUGUCACUUCAAAUCCAUUCAUCGCACCUCCUUGACUCUGAAACCAAGUUCCUGGGCCACAUCUUGUCUUUAUCACACUUUUGCCCCACUUGUAAGCAUUUUCGCAUGGCAUUAAAAAGACUCUGUAAAU